This 179-nucleotide long non-coding RNA is filed under the name Ixodes scapularis (black-legged tick). Its description in RNAcentral is "uncharacterized LOC121833047". Lineage: Eukaryota; Metazoa; Arthropoda; Arachnida; Ixodida; Ixodidae. The record is from RNAcentral.
CAUGGCAAUUGUUUUCAAGGCCUCCACCGACGAUUCAUCAGGACGGGACCCAACCGGGACACUAGGGAGGAGCGGCUUAAGCAAAGGAGGCUACAUAUACCACAGAUUCUUGCGUACAAGAACCGAAAAUAGAUAGACGUUUCCAUGGCCCACAAGCCAGCAGGUGCCAGUUCGUUCUC